Molecule: ribosomal RNA, 253 nt
Filed under: uncultured bacterium
Lineage: Bacteria
Description: partial 16S ribosomal RNA
Rfam family: Bacterial small subunit ribosomal RNA
Source: RNAcentral
UACAGAGGUCUCAAGCGUUGUUCGGAUUCAUUGGGCGUAAAGGGUGUGUAGGUGGCGCGCUAAGUCGGGUGUGAAAUUUCGGAGCUUAACUCCGAAACUGCAUUCGAUACUGGCGUGCUUGAGGACUGGAGAGGAGACUGGAAUUUACGGUGUAGCAGUGAAAUGCGUAGAUAUCGUCAGGAACGCCGAUGGUGAAGACAGGUGACUGGGCUAGUUCUGACACUGAGGCACGAAAGCGUGGGGAGCGAACGGG